ACUGCUUUAAUCUCUUUUUCAACGCAAAGCCGCAGCGAGAGGUUGUCUUUGUGUUUGCGAUGGAUAUACUUAAUUAUAUUUCUAAAAUGAUUCUAAUGGCUUGGAAUAGUUAACAGAUGCCUCAUUAAUCUCUGUCGGAUUCAGUUAAACAUAAAUAUGAAAUGAAUGAAUAAGAUAUUCUACUGCCGGUUCUUUCAUAAACCACGUGCACGUGUUGUCAGAAUGUUAAGCUAGCUCCACGUGUUCAGAAUAUCUGUUUAAAAUUAGGCACUUGGCUUUUUUCUAAGUUGGCAGCUGUGGACUAGGAAAGUACUUCGAAGAGAAUUCCACCUUGCUAUGAAUAAAGCAUAACAGUAUUCUAUUACUAAAUGGAUUGCUCAUUAAUAGGCACUAUAGAUGAUUCCACAUCGUCUUAACAACUUAAUAAAUAAAUAAAAUAAUAAUUGGACGUCAAAAGAUAGUUUUCACAUUCACAAUAGUAUCUGGUAGAGUCAACUUCGAAUCUUCAAAGAAAAAAAGAUAAAACAUUCAAAUGGAAAUUUAUUGAAUUGAGCUUAAAAAUACAUGAAUACUCCAAAAUAGCUCCUCACAAUUUACACUGAGAUUAUAAAAAAACAUGGGACCCCGUCACUUUUAUGACUGUUUGGGAAAAAAAUGACCCCACUCACCCUGAAGAUUUUUCUUGAUCCCUGUAAUCAAUGUUAAAAGUACAAUCUGAUUUGAAUAAAAAUGCUAUUUUGUUGUAUUAUAACGUGA
This is a long non-coding RNA of Drosophila nasuta, 756 nucleotides long. RefSeq lists it as uncharacterized. The record is from RefSeq and is a predicted model, not a curated record. Lineage: Eukaryota; Metazoa; Arthropoda; Insecta; Diptera; Drosophilidae. The transcript has 9 exons.